Molecule: ribosomal RNA, 422 nt
Filed under: uncultured archaeon
Lineage: Archaea
Description: partial 16S ribosomal RNA
Rfam family: Archaeal small subunit ribosomal RNA
Source: RNAcentral
CUACGGGCCGCAGCAGGCGAGAAAACUUUGCAAUGUGCGAAAGCACGACAAGGUUAAUCCGAGUGGUUUCUGCUAAAGGAACCUUUUGUCGGUCCUAGAAACACCGAUGAAUAAGGGGUGGGCAAGUUCUGGUGUCAGACGCCGCGGUAAAACCAGCACCUCAAGUGGUCAGGAUGAUUAUUGGGCCUAAAGCAUCCGUAGCCGGCUCUGUAAGUGUUCGGUUAAAUCUGUAUGCUCAACAUACAGGCUGCCGGGAAUACUGCAUAGCUAGGGAGUGGGAGAGGUAGACGGUACUCGGUAGGAAGGGGUAAAAUCCUUUGAUCUAUUGAUGACCACCUGUGGCGAAGGCGGUCUACCAGAACACGUCCGACGGUGAGGGAUGAAAGCUGGGGGAGCAAACCGGAUUAGAUACCCGGGUAGUC